GCAGAGUAGGAGCAUGCGUGCAGCACCCCGGAAGGGGUCCAGUGCCGGCGGGACGGGGAGUUGUCCGCCGGACGAAAAGCCGAAGGGCUUGCAGUGCGUGCCCCGCAUCCCGCUGC
This 116-nucleotide non-coding RNA is filed under the name chicken gut metagenome. RNAcentral describes it as "THF riboswitch". It matches the Rfam family "THF (Tetrahydrofolate) riboswitch aptamer". Rfam says of the family: THF riboswitch presents a pseudoknot that joins P1-P2 and the loop of P3 and two THF binding. The record is from RNAcentral.